AUGUAUUUUGAGUUCAGUAGAUAUCAGUAUAAGGGGAAGACGACACACAUGGCGGUGACACAAUUUCAGCCUGUGUAUGCGCGGCGAUGCUUUCCCUGUUGGGAUGAGCCUGCUUUUAAGGCGAAGUUCAAGAUAACAUUAGAAGUUUCAUCUGAGAUGGUAGCACUUUCCAACAUGCCUAUAUCUAGUGAGACAGUGGGUGGUUCUAUGAGGAUUAUCCAUUUUGAGGAAUCACCUCUCAUGUCAACUUAUUUAGUUGCCAUGGUUGUUGGUAUUUUUGACUUUGUUGAGGAUGUAGCAUCGAAAGGCACUAAAGUUUGUGUGUACACUGAAGUUGGUAAGAGUUCACAAGGGAAGUUUGCAUUGGAUGUUGGGGUGAAGUCAUUGGAUUUCUAUAAUGAUUACUUUGGCACUCCCUAUGCACUCGCUAAGUUGGAUAUGAUUAGUAUCCCGGAAUUUAAUUGGAUGGGAAUGGAGAAUUAUGGACUGAUCACUUUCCAUCCCACGGUCUUUCUUUUUGAUGGUCCUUCUACAACAUCCACAAAACUACAGGAAAUUGCAGUACUUGUGGCACAUGAAUUGGCUCAUCAAUGGUGUGGAAAUCUUGUAACCAUGGAAUGGUGGAAUCACUUAUGGUUAAACGAGGGAUUUGCUACAUGGAUGAGCUAUCAAGCAGUAGAUUCCUUUUUUCCGAAGUGGAAUAUUUUGCUGGAUUUUCUUGAGAACACAAUGUCUACUCUUAAAUUGGAUUCAAUAGCAGGGUCUCAUCCGAUAGAGGUUGAAAUACACCAUAUCAAUGAAAUCGAUAGGAUUUUUGACGACAUCAUAUAUAUUAAAGGUGCUUCUAUUCUUCAAAUGAUACAGAGCUACAUUGGAGCAGAGCAUUUUCAGAAAGCAUUGAAGAAAUAUAUACAAAAAUAUGCCUACUCAAAUGCUAAAACAGAGGACCUAUGGGUCGUGCUUGAAGAAGAAACUGGCGAGCCAUUCAAGGAUUUCAUGAGUACGUGGACAAAGCAACCAGGAUAUCCUAUAAUUAAUAUAAAACAUAAAGGGAAAGGAAUCCAAGUUGAACAGGCCCAAUUUGUGCUAGAUGGGUCCUCUCGAGCUGGCUUGUGGGAUGUGCCAAUAACUUUAAGAUGCUCUUCAUCAACAAAUAAAUUCAUUUUGAAACACAAGCAUGAUAAUUUUGAUGUAUGUGGUGAACGGGAGAGGGGUGGAAAUAUUUGGAUUAAGUUGAAUAUAAAUGAAACAGGGUUUUAUCGAGUGAAGUAUGACAAAGAAAUUAAAACUAGACUUCAAAACGCAUUAGAGGCCAAUGAGUUCUCUUCAAUGGAAAAAAUUGGAAUUUUGGAGAACUCACUUAUGCUUUCUAUAUCUCGAGAAGACACACUAGCAUCAUUGCUAUGUAUAGUGUAUGCUUGUCGUGAAGUAGCUGACUACAGUGUUUUGACACAUACAAGCUAUAACUAUAACCGUUUACCAUGUAUCUAUUGA
This 1494-nucleotide ribosomal RNA is filed under the name Triticum aestivum (bread wheat). RNAcentral's name for it is "partial small subunit ribosomal RNA". Lineage: Eukaryota; Viridiplantae; Streptophyta; Magnoliopsida; Poales; Poaceae. The record is from RNAcentral.